CAUCUGGAAAGAGGCCCUCGACCGUGUGCGGUCAGGGUCCGCCGACGGGAUAAUACUCUCAGGCACAGCGACAGAUG
This 77-nucleotide non-coding RNA is filed under the name Nitrobacter sp. RNAcentral's name for it is "Glycine sequence". It matches the Rfam family "Glycine riboswitch aptamer", at positions 8 to 87 of the family's 94-position model. From Rfam's summary of the family: This family represents the bacterial glycine riboswitch. Glycine riboswitches usually consist of two metabolite-binding aptamers domains with similar structures in tandem. The aptamers cooperatively bind glycine to regulate the expression of downstream genes. The record is from RNAcentral. Lineage: Bacteria; Pseudomonadati; Pseudomonadota; Alphaproteobacteria; Hyphomicrobiales; Nitrobacteraceae.